This 1189-nucleotide long non-coding RNA is filed under the name Bos indicus x Bos taurus (hybrid cattle). RNAcentral describes it as "lncRNA (ENSBIXG00000005562.1)". The record is from RNAcentral. Lineage: Eukaryota; Metazoa; Chordata; Mammalia; Artiodactyla; Bovidae.
AGUCUGUUCUGUAUCUCCUUUAUUAAAAAAAAUUUAUUUACUUAUAUGUUUAUUUGACCAUGCCGGGUUUCAGUUGUAGCACUCGGAAUCUUCGAUCUUUCAUUUGGCAUGUAGAAUCUUUAGUUGCAACAUGUGGGAUUUAGUUCCCUGACCAGGCCCAGGCCCCCUGCAAUGGGGGUUCAGAGUCUAAGCCACUGGACCACCUGGGAAGUCCCUGCUCUAUGUCUUAUUGUUUGUGGCAUCUUAGACAGUCACCUCUUUGAUCCUCAAUUUCCUCAUCUGUAAAAUGGGAUCUCUCACUCAUAUGGUUUGAUGAGAAUUGCAUGAGAUGGACGUGCCAAGCCUAGACCAGUGCCUGGCCCAGGGCAAUCACUUAGACAGUGUGAGUUGUGAUUAUCAUAGUUGGCGCUUGGUAAAUGUUUGUUGAAUGAAUGAGAGAGAACAAUGGCUUAAGCAGCCCCAGUGAUACUCACUAGAGGUGGGAGAUUAGGAGAGGAGCUAAGCUUAAGACUAGCCCCAUGGUUCCAUUGUCUUUGACUGGAAAAUGGGAGUUACAUUCAUUUGAACGAGACUUCAGCUUUAUCAUAAACUACAAAUGAAGCCAUCUGGUCUCCCUGAGAAGCAUCCCACCUGGACAGGCAAGUGUGACCACAAGUUCUGCAGUUGAAUUGGGUGCUGAGGCUGCUGAUUUUCCCCAGUGCGCUUGUCUGCAUGCAGGCGUAUCUAGCAUUCCUGAAGAUUACAUCAUUCCCUCCAGGUGCGGCUAGCCCUGCUGACAGAGAAUGUUCUCCCGGGCAGUUGCAACAACCUGGCACCUGCCAUGGAAGAGCCCAACCAGUGCUCAUAUGCAGCUGUUCAGGAUGUGUGCCAGCCUCGCUGACUCCGGAUGAUGGGCGGAUACAGCUAUCGCCACUGCCUCCCUUGCUCCUGAAUACAGUGGAGCAGCCAGUCUCCCAGUCAGGUGGUGCUGGGUGCCCCAACACCCGAGGAAGGGAUCUCAAAGAUGAAAGUCUGCUUUUUUCUGAACGAAGUACUUCCUGUGGCAGUGGAGCCCCAACUUAGAGUGAGCUGGAUUCCUCUGUGGAGAAGAACAGACAUAGCGCCAUAAGUUCUGAUUGGUAGGUGAGUAGCCAGACCCAGACACUGGGAUCACUAACCAGGUCCUUAGGAGGUGUUUCUCACAGUGUGG